This 639-nucleotide ribosomal RNA is filed under the name Streptomyces niphimycinicus. Its description in RNAcentral is "Streptomyces sp. 4503 partial 23S ribosomal RNA". It matches the Rfam family "Bacterial large subunit ribosomal RNA", at positions 1 to 589 of the family's 2925-position model. Lineage: Bacteria; Bacillati; Actinomycetota; Actinomycetes; Kitasatosporales; Streptomycetaceae. The record is from RNAcentral.
GGCCAAGUUUUUAAGGGCGCACGGUGGAUGCCUUGGCACCAGGAACCGAUGAAGGACGUGGGAGGCCGCGAUAGGCCCCGGGGAGCUGUCAACCGAGCUUUGAUCCGGGGGUGUCCGAAUGGGGAAACCCGGCAGUCGUCAUGGGCUGUCACCCAUACCUGAACACAUAGGGUAUGUGGAGGGAACGCGGGGAAGUGAAACAUCUCAGUACCCGCAGGAAGAGAAAACAACCGUGAUUCCGGGAGUAGUGGCGAGCGAAACUGGAUGAGGCUAAACCGUAUGUGUGUGAUACCCGGCAGGGGUUGCGCAUGCGGGGUUGUGGGAGUGCUCUUGAUCGGUCUGCCGGCUGGUCGGUGAGUCAGAAAUUGUUGAUGUAGGCGAAGGGCAUGCGAAAGGCCCGGCGUAGAGGGUAAGACCCCCGUAGCUGAAAUGUCAGCAACUUGCUUGAGUAUUUCCCAAGUAGCACGGGGCCCGAGAAAUCCCGUGUGAAUCUGGCGGGACCACCCGCUAAGCCUAAAUAUUCCCUGGUGACCGAUAGCGGAUAGUACCGUGAGGGAAUGGUGAAAAGUACCGCGGGAGCGGAGUGAAAUAGUACCUGAAACCGUGUGCCUACAAGCCGUGGGAGCGUCGGACAUCAGC